CCUACGGGUGGCAGCAGUGGGGAAUAUUGGGCAAUGGGCGCAAGCCUGACCCAGCAACGCCGCGUGAAGGAUGAAGGUUUUCGGAUUGUAAACUUCUGUCGCGAGGGAUGAAGAAUGACGGUACCUCGUAAGAAAGCCCCGGCUAACUACGUGCCAGCAGCCGCGGUAAUACGUAGGGGGCAAGCGUUGUCCGGAAUUACUGGGUGUAAAGGGAGCGUAGACGGUAAUGCAAGUCUGGAGUGAAAGGCGGGGGCCCACCCCCCGGACUGCUCUGGAAACUGUGUAACUGGAGUGCAGGAGAGGCAGGCGGAAUUCCUAGUGUAGCGGUGAAAUGCGUAGAUAUUAGGAGGAACACCAGUGGCGAAGGCGGCCUGCUGGACUGUAACUGACGUUGAGGCUCGAAAGCGUGGGGAGCAAACAGGAUUAGAUACCCUUGUAGUC
Molecule: ribosomal RNA, 441 nt
Filed under: uncultured bacterium
Lineage: Bacteria
Description: partial 16S ribosomal RNA
Rfam family: Bacterial small subunit ribosomal RNA
Source: RNAcentral